CAACCCUCAAGCCCGGCUUGGUGUUGGGGCCCCACGGUCGACGUGGGCCCUUAAAGGUAGUGGCGGACCCUCCCGGAGCCUCCUUUGCGUAGUAACUUAACGUCUCGCACUGGGAUCCGGAGGGACUCUUGCCGUAAAACCCCCCAAACUUUUACCA
This 157-nucleotide unclassified non-coding RNA is filed under the name Colletotrichum tanaceti. Its description in RNAcentral is "partial internal transcribed spacer 2". The record is from RNAcentral. Lineage: Eukaryota; Fungi; Ascomycota; Sordariomycetes; Glomerellales; Glomerellaceae.